This 502-nucleotide ribosomal RNA is filed under the name uncultured bacterium. RNAcentral describes it as "bacterial SSU rRNA". It matches the Rfam family "Bacterial small subunit ribosomal RNA", at positions 28 to 528 of the family's 1533-position model. The record is from RNAcentral.
GAUGAACGCUAGCGGCAGGCUUAAUACAUGCAAGUCGAGCGGGAAUUGGGUAGCAAUACCUGAUGAUAGUGGCGCACGGGUGCGUAACGCGUAUGCAACCUACCUUUAACAGGGGGAUAGCCCGGAGAAAUUCGGAUUAAUACCCCAUAGUAUUAUGGAGAGGCAUCUUUUCAUGAUUAAAGUUCCGGCGGUUAAAGAUGGGCAUGCGUGCCAUUAGCUAGUUGGUGAGGUAACGGCUCACCAAGGCGACGAUGGUUAGGGGUCCUGAGAGGGUUAUCCCCCACACUGGUACUGAGACACGGACCAGACUCCUACGGGAGGCAGCAGUAAGGAAUAUUGGUCAAUGGGCGGAAGCCUGAACCAGCCAUGCCGCGUGCAGGAAGACGGCCUUAUGGGUUGUAAACUGCUUUUGUCAGGGAAUAAACCCUCGUUUGCGAACGAGGCUGAAGGUACCUGAAGAUAAGCAUCGGCUAACUCCGUGCCAGCAGCCGCGGUAAUACGU